RNAcentral lists this ribosomal RNA (471 nucleotides) under Veillonella parvula. Its description in RNAcentral is "bacterial SSU rRNA". It matches the Rfam family "Bacterial small subunit ribosomal RNA", at positions 28 to 472 of the family's 1533-position model. The record is from RNAcentral. Lineage: Bacteria; Bacillati; Bacillota; Negativicutes; Veillonellales; Veillonellaceae.
GACGAACGCUGGCGGCGUGCUUAACACAUGCAAGUCGAACGAAGAGCGAUGGAAGCUUGCUUCUAUCAAUCUUAGUGGCGAACGGGUGAGUAACGCGUAAUCAACCUGCCCUUCAGAGGGGGACAACAGUUGGAAACGACUGCUAAUACCGCAUACGAUCUAAACUCGGCAUCGAGGAUAGAUGAAAGGUGGCCUCUACAUGUAAGCUAUCACUGAAGGAGGGGAUUGCGUCUGAUUAGCUAGUUGGAGGGGUAACGGCCCACCAAGGCGAUGAUCAGUAGCCGGUCUGAGAGGAUGAACGGCCACAUUGGGACUGAGACACGGCCCAGACUCCUACGGGAGGCAGCAGUGGGGAAUCUUCCGCAAUGGACGAAAGUCUGACGGAGCAACGCCGCGUGAGUGAUGACGGCCUUCGGGUUGUAAAGCUCUGUUAAUUGGGACGAAAGGCCUUCUUGCGAAUAGUUAGGAGGA